GCGGUGGUGGUGAAGAGGAAGAGGAGCGGAAACGCCAGGAGAGCUACCCCAGAAGCGGCGAAGGAGACGAGCAUGACGGACCUGGAGAAGAAACCUGAAACACCAAGUGCAGAUGCUGACAAACCCGAGGAAGCGGUGUCUUCUGUGGACUGAGGUUGAUUCAUGCAACAUUUUAAAUAAACUGUCUGCAUUUUCC
Molecule: long non-coding RNA, 196 nt
Organism: Notothenia coriiceps (black rockcod)
Lineage: Eukaryota; Metazoa; Chordata; Actinopteri; Perciformes; Nototheniidae
Exons: 3
Source: RefSeq, a predicted model, not a curated record